CCUANGGGAGGCAGCAGUGAGGAAUAUUGCGCAAUGGCCGAAAGGCUGACGCAGCGACGCCGCGUGAAGGAUGAAGUCCGUUAGGAUGUAAACUUCUUUUGCAGGGGAUGAAUGUUCCGGUUUCCGGAAUUGACCGUACCCUGCGAAUAAGGAUCGGCUAACUACGUGCCAGCAGCCGCGGUAAUACGUAGGAUCCGAGCGUUGUCCGGAAUUACUGGGUGUAAAGGGCGUGUAGGUGGGUCUCUAAGUCGGUGGUGAAAUCCUGCAGCUUAACUGCAGAACUGCCAUUGAUACUGGAGGUCUUGAGUGCGGCAGAGGGAGAUGGAAUUCAUGGUGUAGCGGUGAAAUGUGUAGAUAUCAUGAAGAACACCGGUAGCGAAGGCGGUCUCCUGGUCCGUAACUGACACUGAGGCGCGAAAGCGUGGGGAGCAAACAGGAUUAGAUACCCCGNUANUC
RNAcentral lists this ribosomal RNA (456 nucleotides) under uncultured bacterium. Its description in RNAcentral is "bacterial SSU rRNA". It matches the Rfam family "Bacterial small subunit ribosomal RNA", at positions 338 to 795 of the family's 1533-position model. The record is from RNAcentral.